This 2902-nucleotide ribosomal RNA is filed under the name human gut metagenome. Its description in RNAcentral is "bacterial LSU rRNA". It matches the Rfam family "Bacterial large subunit ribosomal RNA". The record is from RNAcentral.
UUAAGCGACUAAGCGUACACGGUGGAUGCCCUGGCAGUCAGAGGCGAUGAAGGACGUGCUAAUCUGCGAUAAGCGUCGGUAAGGUGAUAUGAACCGUUAUAACCGGCGAUUUCCGAAUGGGGAAACCCAGUGUGUUUCGACACACUAUCAUUAACUGAAUCCAUAGGUUAAUGAGGCGAACCGGGGGAACUGAAACAUCUAAGUACCCCGAGGAAAAGAAAUCAACCGAGAUUCCCCCAGUAGCGGCGAGCGAACGGGGAGCAGCCCAGAGCCUGAAUCAGUGUGUGUGUUAGUGGAAGCGUCUGGAAAGGCGCGCGAUACAGGGUGACAGCCCCGUACACAAAAAUGCACAUGCUGUGAGCUCGAUGAGUAGGGCGGGACACGUGGUAUCCUGUCUGAAUAUGGGGGGACCAUCCUCCAAGGCUAAAUACUCCUGACUGACCGAUAGUGAACCAGUACCGUGAGGGAAAGGCGAAAAGAACCCCGGCGAGGGGAGUGAAAAAGAACCUGAAACCGUGUACGUACAAGCAGUGGGAGCACGCUUAGGCGUGUGACUGCGUACCUUUUGUAUAAUGGGUCAGCGACUUAUAUUCUGUAGCAAGGUUAACCGAAUAGGGGAGCCGAAGGGAAACCGAGUCUUAACUGGGCGUUAAGUUGCAGGGUAUAGACCCGAAACCCGGUGAUCUAGCCAUGGGCAGGUUGAAGGUUGGGUAACACUAACUGGAGGACCGAACCGACUAAUGUUGAAAAAUUAGCGGAUGACUUGUGGCUGGGGGUGAAAGGCCAAUCAAACCGGGAGAUAGCUGGUUCUCCCCGAAAGCUAUUUAGGUAGCGCCUCGUGAAUUCAUCUCCGGGGGUAGAGCACUGUUUCGGCAAGGGGGUCAUCCCGACUUACCAACCCGAUGCAAACUGCGAAUACCGGAGAAUGUUAUCACGGGAGACACACGGCGGGUGCUAACGUCCGUCGUGAAGAGGGAAACAACCCAGACCGCCAGCUAAGGUCCCAAAGUCAUGGUUAAGUGGGAAACGAUGUGGGAAGGCCCAGACAGCCAGGAUGUUGGCUUAGAAGCAGCCAUCAUUUAAAGAAAGCGUAAUAGCUCACUGGUCGAGUCGGCCUGCGCGGAAGAUGUAACGGGGCUAAACCAUGCACCGAAGCUGCGGCAGCGACGCUUAUGCGUUGUUGGGUAGGGGAGCGUUCUGUAAGCCUGCGAAGGUGUGCUGUGAGGCAUGCUGGAGGUAUCAGAAGUGCGAAUGCUGACAUAAGUAACGAUAAAGCGGGUGAAAAGCCCGCUCGCCGGAAGACCAAGGGUUCCUGUCCAACGUUAAUCGGGGCAGGGUGAGUCGACCCCUAAGGCGAGGCCGAAAGGCGUAGUCGAUGGGAAACAGGUUAAUAUUCCUGUACUUGGUGUUACUGCGAAGGGGGGACGGAGAAGGCUAUGUUGGCCGGGCGACGGUUGUCCCGGUUUAAGCGUGUAGGCUGGUUUUCCAGGCAAAUCCGGAAAAUCAAGGCUGAGGCGUGAUGACGAGGCACUACGGUGCUGAAGCAACAAAUGCCCUGCUUCCAGGAAAAGCCUCUAAGCAUCAGGUAACAUCAAAUCGUACCCCAAACCGACACAGGUGGUCAGGUAGAGAAUACCAAGGCGCUUGAGAGAACUCGGGUGAAGGAACUAGGCAAAAUGGUGCCGUAACUUCGGGAGAAGGCACGCUGAUAUGUAGGUGAAGUCCCUCGCGGAUGGAGCUGAAAUCAGUCGAAGAUACCAGCUGGCUGCAACUGUUUAUUAAAAACACAGCACUGUGCAAACACGAAAGUGGACGUAUACGGUGUGACGCCUGCCCGGUGCCGGAAGGUUAAUUGAUGGGGUUAGCGCAAGCGAAGCUCUUGAUCGAAGCCCCGGUAAACGGCGGCCGUAACUAUAACGGUCCUAAGGUAGCGAAAUUCCUUGUCGGGUAAGUUCCGACCUGCACGAAUGGCGUAAUGAUGGCCAGGCUGUCUCCACCCGAGACUCAGUGAAAUUGAACUCGCUGUGAAGAUGCAGUGUACCCGCGGCAAGACGGAAAGACCCCGUGAACCUUUACUAUAGCUUGACACUGAACAUUGAGCCUUGAUGUGUAGGAUAGGUGGGAGGCUUGGAAGUGUGGACGCCAGUCUGCAUGGAGCCGACCUUGAAAUACCACCCUUUAAUGUUUGAUGUUCUAACGUGGACCCGUGAUCCGGGUUGCGGACAGUGUCUGGUGGGUAGUUUGACUGGGGCGGUCUCCUCCUAAAGAGUAACGGAGGAGCACGAAGGUUGGCUAAUCCUGGUCGGACAUCAGGAGGUUAGUGCAAUGGCAUAAGCCAGCUUGACUGCGAGCGUGACGGCGCGAGCAGGUGCGAAAGCAGGUCAUAGUGAUCCGGUGGUUCUGAAUGGAAGGGCCAUCGCUCAACGGAUAAAAGGUACUCCGGGGAUAACAGGCUGAUACCGCCCAAGAGUUCAUAUCGACGGCGGUGUUUGGCACCUCGAUGUCGGCUCAUCACAUCCUGGGGCUGAAGUAGGUCCCAAGGGUAUGGCUGUUCGCCAUUUAAAGUGGUACGCGAGCUGGGUUUAGAACGUCGUGAGACAGUUCGGUCCCUAUCUGCCGUGGGCGCUGGAGAACUGAGGGGGGCUGCUCCUAGUACGAGAGGACCGGAGUGGACGCAUCACUGGUGUUCGGGUUGUCAUGCCAAUGGCACUGCCCGGUAGCUAAAUGCGGAAGAGAUAAGUGCUGAAAGCAUCUAAGCACGAAACUUGCCCCGAGAUGAGUUCUCCCUGACUCCUUGAGAGUCCUGAAGGAACGUUGAAGACGACGACGUUGAUAGGCCGGGUGUGUAAGCGCAGCGAUGCGUUGAGCUAACCGGUACUAAUGAACCGUGAGGCUUAACCUU